This 422-nucleotide long non-coding RNA is filed under the name Homo sapiens (human). RNAcentral's name for it is "HSALNT0191857". Lineage: Eukaryota; Metazoa; Chordata; Mammalia; Primates; Hominidae. The record is from RNAcentral.
CUGUCAUUUUUUAUUAAAAUGGAAAACUGUGAAGAAAGAAAAAGAUAGCAGUUGAAGUCAAAAUUCUCGGAUGACUAUUUUGCUUUUGAGGAGUCAGCAUUUAAAAACGAUAUGCUGAUUUGGAAGGUCCUGGGAGUAAACUGCAAACUUUAUUUUUUCCAUUCAAUCAAUGGAUUUUUUAAUCAUUCCUUGGAGUCGAUGAAGUUCGGAAACGGUGUGUGAUGGGGAACGUGGCGGGCCAGUGUGUUCCUAGAAAUUGCAUCUUGGAUUAGUUUGCUGCUUUUUUGAAGAGAUUCCAUUUUGAAGGGCAAGAACCUAAUGUGAUGGAUUUAUCUUCAGAAAUGAACAGACAUGGGAAGAAUCCAGUGAGUCACAAGCUAGAAGAUCAGAAGAAGGUCUCAAAACGGUGUGGUUCUUUUAAG